CUCUCAGGCGGCGACCGAGGCGGCAAGGAGGUCGCCACACUUGCGGCCUCAGGAGGCGGGGGAGCGGCCAGCCACCAGCCACCACGAGGCCUCUCCCCCCAAAGAACAGCCUCUCUCUGGCAGGAGCUGGGGGGGUUCCAGCCCCACGGCCACCUCCCCACUGAAAAAAGCUCUGAGGGAAAACUGGCUCAAAAUACAAGCCUCUCAGAGAGGAGAGAGACACUGCUGUGAGGGGCGACAGGACCCUCUUGCCGUGGAAAGCUUUUUAGACAUUUUUAUGAGGGAAAUUUUUUUUUUUAAGUCUCUGAGGGAGAACAAGAGCUUCUCAGUGGGGAGCUGCUUAGGCUUCCCCUUGCCAACAAAGAGGAAUAAAAGUCUCUGAGGGGAAACUCCCUGCCAAAUUAUAUGUUAUAUAUCUGAGGGGAGACAAGAGUUUCUCAGUGGGAAGCUCACCUCUCUGCUUUGGCUUCAGCUUGCCCAAAAAAGGAGGGGAAAGCCCUCUCUAAGGGGAAAGGGAGGAUUCAAAGUGUGGAGUGUAUCUCUUUGCUUUGGCUUCAUCUGCCAAAAAAUAAAAGUCUCUGAGGGAAACAGUUUCUCAGUGGGGAGUUCACCUCUCUGCUUUAGCUUCGUUUUGCCAAAGAAAGAAAGAAAGAGGGGAAGUCUCUCAGGCGACUUUCCUUCUCUUUUGUUAAAAAAUUAUCUGAGGAAAAGGCAAUCUCCAAGACAGUGCAAAAAAGGGCUAUGAUUUUCUGAGGAAAGGCUGUCUCUCUCAGAUAGUCAAGGGCUACAAGCCCAGCCUCAGGACAAGUCCCUUUUCCACAGGAAAAGGAGGAAGCCGCUUGAGGAAUGCUAUGCUGCCAGGACAAGGCUUUUUAAAAGAACAGUUUCUGGGAGAAUGGCAGGAAUAGGGGUUUCAAGCCUGCCAACUUGGCCUUUACCUCUGUCUCACCUAAGAAGUGUCUGAGCCUGAGGGGGAACAGGGUCUAUUAGGGAGGCAUUCAUCUCUGCUUUGAUUUCAACUUGCAAAAAAAGAAAGAAGAAGAAGAAGAAGUUUGAGAGGAAACAGAGUUUCUAAGUGGGGAGUUAAUUUCUCUACUUGGGCUACAUCUUGCCAAAAAAGGGUUUCUGAGGAGAACAUCGAGUUUCUAAGGGGGGGAUUCAUCUCCCUGCUUUGGCUUCAUCCUGCCAAAACAACUCUGAGGAUGCUGCAGCCGUGCUGGCGUGAACAAAAGCCCUGCCACCUCACUGCCCACAUUUACAGCAUUUUGUCUGCCGAGGGCAAAGCGCAGCAGAUUCAUCCUGUCCUCAGAAGGCUGGGGCGCCACAGUCUUCUGCAUUACAGCAAAAAUCUGCCCACUAUUAAAGCGUUCUUUCUCUCUGCAUACAAAUGUCAUAAAUAUGCACAGCGUAGGGCAGGACUUCUGAGCACAAUGGCACCAGGGCUGUGGCAGAAAACUAUGAGGUCAGGGGCUGUGUAAAUACAGACGGGCUGGCUCUAAUACGGGAAAACUCUGUUGUUCUAGGAACUGUCAGUAGAAGCUUCAGGCUUCUUUAUCCCCCCAAGAGCUUUGUUGGGCAGCAUAAAAUUUCUAAGAUAGUGGCUGAAUGGAUUGGGACAUGUUUCAUGUGUGUUAGAAGCCUCAGGCUUCUGGCAGCAUAAUCUCUAAAAGCGUGGCUAGCUUGAAUGGAACACUCUUCAUGAGUGUUUCAUUCUGACCCCAAGGAAGAAACAGAAUUGACGCACCAUUCGCAAGGACCUCCAUGCCUGAACAUUGAUGUUGGAACACUUUCUCCUGCCAAGUGGCCUCUGUGGCAGAUUCCAAGAAAGAACUAAAGGAGUCUUAAGAAUGAAUUAAAGGAAGCAACGACGCACGACAGAUGCCAAACCAGGGGCUGCAUAACUCAAUCACAACGCACUGUGAAUUAUUUCCAAAAGAAGCCCGAGGCUUCUUUAUACUCCCACCAACUUUGUCAGGCAUCAUAAUCUCUCAGAUGGUCCCUGUCCUGAAUGCAACAUGCUUCAUGCAUGUUAGGAGCUUCAUGCUUCUGUAUUUUCUCAAUGGCUGCGGGAGGCAGCACCAUCCCUUGCUGUCUUGAAUGGAACAUGCUUCAUGCAUGUUAGGAGCUUCAUGCUUCUGUAUUUUCCCAAUGCCUGUGGGAGGCAGCAUCAUCUCUAAGAUGGUGGCUUUUCUUGAAAGGAACAUGCUUCACGCAUGUUAGGAGCUUCAUGCUUCUGUAGUUUCUCAAUGGCUGCGGGAGGCAGCACCAUCCCUGGCUCUCUGGAAUGGAACAUGCUUCAUGCAUGUUCCAUUCUGCCCUCUGAAGAAUGGUUUGGCAAGAAGAAACAGAACUGGCGCACCUUCAUCAAGGACCUCCAUGCCUGAAUAUUGAUGUUGGAACAUUUUCUUUUCCCAAGUGGCCUCUGUGGCAGAUUUCAAGAAAGAACGAAAAGAAUCUGAAGAAAGAACGAAAGGAAGCAACAAUGCACGACAGAAGCCAAACCAGGGCUCCAUUGACAGAUGGCCCCUGUCCUGAAUGCAACAUGCUCCACGCAUGUUAGGAGCUUCAUGCUUCUGUAUUUUCUCAGUGCCUGUGGGAGGCAGCAUCAUCUCUCAGAUGGUCGCUGUCCUGAAUGGAACAUGCUUCACGCAUGUUAGGAGCUUCAGGCUUCUGUAGUUUCUCAAUGGCUGUGGGAAGCAGCACCAUCCCUGGCUGUCUUGAAUGGAACAUGCUUCAUGCAUGUUCCAUUCUGCCCUCUGAAGAAUGGUUUGGCAAGAAGAAACUGAAUUGGCACACCUUUCUCGAAGACCUCCAUGCCUGAAUAUUGAUGUUGGAACAUUUUCUUCUCCCAAGUGGCCUCUGUGGCAGAUUUCAAGAAAGAACGAAAAGAAUCUGAAGAAAGAACGAAAGGAAGCAACAAUGCACGACAGAAGCCAAACCAGGGCUCCAUUGACAGAUGGCCCCUGUCCUGAAUGCAACAUGCUUCACGCAUGUUAGGAGCUUCAUGCUUCUGUAUUUUCUCAGUGCCUGUGGGAGGCAGCAUCAUCUCUCAGAUGGUGGCUUUUCUUGAAAGGAACAUGCUUCACGCAUGUUAGGAGCUUCAGGCUUCUGUAGUUUCUCAAUGGCUGUGGGAAGCAGCACCAUCCCUGGCUGUCUUGAAUGGAACAUGCUUCAUGCAUGUUCCAUUCUGCCCUCUGAAGAAUGGUUUGGCAAGAAGAAACAGAACUGGCACACCUUCUUCAAGGACCUCCAUGCCUGAAUAUUGAUGUUGGAACAUUUUCUCCUCCCAAGCGGCCUCUCUGGCAGAUUUCAAGAAAGAACGAAAAGAAUCUGAAGAAAGAACGAAAGGAAGCAACAAUGCACGACAGAAGCCAAACCAGGGCUCCAUUGACAGAUGGCCCCUGUCCUGAAUGCAACAUGCUUCACGCAUGUUAGGAGCUUCAUGCUUCUGUAUUUUCUCAGUGCCUGUGGGAGGCAGCAUCAUCUCUCAGAUGGUGGCUUUUCUUGAAAGGAACAUGCUUCACGCAUGUUAGGAGCUUCAGGCUUCUGUAGUUUCUCAAUGGCUGUGGGAAGCAGCACCAUCCCUGGCUGUCUUGAAUGGAACAUGCUUCAUGCAUGUUCCAUUCUGCCCUCUGAAGAAUGGUUUGGCAAGAAGAAACAGAACUGGCACACCUUCUUCAAGGACCUCCAUGCCUGAAUAUUGAUGUUGGAACAUUUUCUCCUCCCAAGCGGCCUCUCUGGCAGAUUUCAAGAAAGAACGAAAAGAAUCUGAAGAAAGAACGAAAGGAAGGAACAAUGCACGACAGAAGCCAAACCAUGGCUCCAUUGACAGAUGGCCCCUGUCCUGAAUGGAACAUGCUUCACGCAUGUUAGGAGCUUGAUGCUUCUGUAUUUUCUCAGUGCCUGUGGGAGGCAGCAUCAUCCCUAAGAUGGUGGCUUUUCUUGAAAGGAACAUGCUUCACGCAUGUUAGGAGCUUCAGGCUUCUGUAUUUUCCCAAUGGCUGUCUUGAAUGCAACAUGCUUCACGCAUGUUAGGAGCUUCAUGCUUCUGUAGUUUCUCAAUGGCUGUGGGAGGCAGCAUCAUCUCUAAGAUGGUGGCUUUUCUUGAAAGGAACAUGCUUCACGCAUGUUAGGAGCUUCAUGCUUCUGUAGUUUCUCAAUGGCUGUGGGAGGCAGCAUCAUCUCUAAGAUGGUGGCUUUUCUUGAAAGGAACAUGCUUCACGCAUGUUAGGAGCUUCAGGCUUCUGUAGUUUCUCAAUGGCUGUGGGAAGCAGCACCAUCCCUGGCUGUCUUGAAUGGAACAUGCUUCAUGCAUGUUCCAUUCUGCCCUCUGAAGAAUGGUUUGGCAAGAAGAAACUGAAUUGGCACACCUUUCUCGAAGACCUCCAUGCCUGAAUAUUGAUGUUGGAACGUUUUCUCCUCCCAAGCGGCGUCUCUGGCAGAUUUCAAGAAAGAACGAAAAGAAUCUGAAGAAAGAACGAAAGGAAGCAACAAUGCACAACAGAAGCCAAACCAGGGCUCCAUUGACAGAUGGCCCCUGUCCUGAAUGCAACAUGCUUCACGCAUGUUAGGAGCUUCAUGCUUCUGUAUUUUCUCAGUGCCUGUGGGAGGCAGCAUCAUCUCUAAGAUGGUGGCUUUUCUUGAAAGGAACAUGCUUCAUGCAUGUUAGGAGCUUCAGGCUUCUGUAGUUUCUCAAUGGCUGUCUUGAAUGGAACAUGCUUCAUGCAUAUUCCAUUCUGCCCUCUGAAGAAUGGUUUGGCAAGAAGAAACAGAAUUGGCACACCUUCUUCAAGGACCUCCAUGCCUGAAUAUUGAUGUUGGAACGUUUUCUCCUCCCAAGCGGCGUCUCUGGCAGAUUUCAAGAAAGAACGAAAAGAAUCUGAAGAAAGAACGAAAGGAAGCAACAAUGCACGACAGAAGCCAAACCAGGGCUCCAUUGACAGAUGGCCCCUGUCCUGAAUGCAACGUGCUUCAUGCAUGUUAGGAGCUUCAUGCUUCUGUAUUUUCUCAGUGCCUGUGGGAGGCAGCAUCAUCCCUAAGAUGGUGGCUUUUCUUGAAAGGAACAUGCUUCACGCAUGUUAGGAGCUUCAGGCUUCUGUAGUUUCUCAAUGGCUGUGGGAAGCAGCACCAUCCCUGGCUGUCUUGAAUGGAACAUGCUUCAUGCAUGUUCCAUUCUGCCCUCUGAAGAAUGGUUUGGCAAGAAGAAACAGAACUGGCGCACCUUCUUCAAGGACCUCCAUGCCUGAAUAUUGAUGUUGGAACGUUUUCUCCUCCCAAGCGGCCUCUCUGGCAGAUUUCAAGAAAGAACGAAAAGAAUCUGAAGAAAGAACGAAAGGAAGCAACAAUGCACGACAGAAGCCAAACCAGGGCUCCAUUGACAGAUGGCCCCUGUCCUGAAUGCAACAUGCUUCACGCAUGUUAGGAGCUUCAUGCUUCUGUAUUUUCUCAAUGCCUGUAGGAGGCAGCAUCAUCUCUCAGAUGGUGGCUUUUCUUGAAAGGAACAUGCUUCAUGCAUGUUAGGAGCUUCAUGCUUCUGUAGUUUCUCAAUGGCUGUGGGAGGCAGCACCAUCCCUCCCUGGCUGUCUUAAAUGGAACAUGCUUCAUGCAUGUUCCAUUCUGCCCUCCGAAGAAUGGUUUGGCAAGAAGAAACAGAACUGGCGCACCUUCUUCAAGGACCUCCAUGCCUGAACAUUGAUGUUGGAACAUUUUAUCCUGUCAAGUGGCCUCUGUGGCAGAUUCCAAGAAAGAACUAAAGGAGUCUUAAGAAUGAAUUAAAGGAAGCAACGACGCACGACAGAUGCCAAACCAGGGGCUGCAUACCUCAAUCACAACGCACUGUGAAUUAUUUCCAAAAGAAGCCCGAGGCUUCUUUAUACUCCCACCAACUUUGUCAGGCAUCAUAAUCUCUCAGAUGGUCCCUGUCCUGAAUGCAACAUGCUUCACGCAUGUUAGGAGCUUCAUGCUUCUGUAGUUUCUCAAUGGCUGUGGGAGGCAGCAUCAUCCCUGGCUGUCUUGAAUGGAACAUGCUUCAUGCAUGUUCCAUUCUGCCCUCUGAAGAAUGGUUUGGCAAGAAGAAACAGAACUGGCGCACCUUCUUCAAGGACCUCCAUGCCUGAAUAUUGAUGUUGGAACAUUUUCUUCUCCCAAGCGGCAUCUCUGGCAGAUUUCAAGAAAGAAUGAAAAGAAUCUGAAGAAAGAACGAAAGGAAGGAACAAUGCACGACAGAAGCCAAACCAGGGCUCCAUUGACAGAUGGCCCCUGUCCUGAAUGCAACAUGCUUCAUGCGUUUUAGGAGCUUCAGGCUUCUGUAUUUUCCCAAUGGCUGUGGGAGGCAGCAUCAUCUCUAAGAUGGUGGCUUUUCUUGAAAGGAACAUGCUUCACGCAUGUUAGGAGCUUCAAGCUUCUGUAGUUUCUCAAUGCCUGUGGGAGGCAGCAUCAUCCCUAAGAUGGUGGCUUUUCUUGAAAGGAACAUGCUUCACGCAUGUUAGGAGCUUCAGGCUUCUUUAGUUUCUCAAUGGCUGUGGGAAGCAGCAUCAUCUCUAAGAUGGUGGCUGUCCGGAAUGGAACAUGCUUCACGCAUGUUAGGAGCUUCAGGCUUCUGUAGUUUCUCAAUGGCUGUGGGAAGCAGCACCAUCCCUGGCUGUCUUGAAUGGAACAUGCUUCAUGCAUGUUCCAUUCUGCCCUCUGAAGAAUGGUUUGGCAAGAAGAAACUGAAUUGGCACACCUUUCUCGAAGACCUCCAUGCCUGAAUAUUGAUGUUGGAACGUUUUCUCCUCCCAAGCGGCGUCUCUGGCAGAUUUCAAGAAAGAACGAAAAGAAUCUGAAGAAAGAACGAAAGGAAGCAACAAUGCACGACAGAAGCCAAACCAGGGCUCCAUUGACAGAUGGCCCCUGUCCUGAAUGCAACAUGCUUCAUGCGUUUUAGGAGCUUCAGGCUUCUGUAUUUUCCCAAUGGCUGUGGGAGGCAGCAUCAUCUCUAAGAUGGUGGCUUUUCUUGAAAGGAACAUGCUUCACGCAUGUUAGGAGCUUCAAGCUUCUGUAGUUUCUCAAUGCCUGUGGGAGGCAGCAUCAUCCCUAAGAUGGUGGCUUUUCUUGAAAGGAACAUGCUUCACGCAUGUUAGGAGCUUCAGGCUUCUUUAGUUUCUCAAUGGCUGUGGGAAGCAGCAUCAUCUCUAAGAUGGUGGCUGUCCGGAAUGGAACAUGCUUCACGCAUGUUAGGAGCUUCAGGCUUCUGUAGUUUCUCAAUGGCUGUGGGAAGCAGCACCAUCCCUGGCUGUCUUGAAUGGAACAUGCUUCAUGCAUGUUCCAUUCUGCCCUCUGAAGAAUGGUUUGGCAAGAAGAAACUGAAUUGGCACACCUUUCUCGAAGACCUCCAUGCCUGAAUAUUGAUGUUGGAACGUUUUCUCCUCCCAAGCGGCGUCUCUGGCAGAUUUCAAGAAAGAAUGAAAAGAAUCUGAAGAAAGAACGAAAGGAAGGAACAAUGCACGACAGAAGCCAAACCAGGGCUCCAUUGACAGAUGGCCCCUGUCCUGAAUGCAACAUGCUUCAUGCGUUUUAGGAGCUUCAGGCUUCUGUAUUUUCCCAAUGGCUGUGGGAGGCAGCAUCAUCCCUAAGAUGGUGGCUUUUCUUGAAAGGAACAUGCUUCACGCAUGUUAGGAGCUUCAGGCUUCUUUAGUUUCUCAAUGGCUGUGGGAAGCAGCAUCAUCUCUAAGAUGGUGGCUGUCCGGAAUGGAACAUGCUUCACGCAUGUUAGGAGCUUCAGGCUUCUGUAGUUUCUCAAUGGCUGUGGGAAGCAGCACCAUCCCUGGCUGUCUUGAAUGGAACAUGCUUCAUGCAUGUUCCAUUCUGCCCUCUGAAGAAUGGUUUGGCAAGAAGAAACUGAAUUGGCACACCUUUCUCGAAGACCUCCAUGCCUGAAUAUUGAUGUUGGAACGUUUUCUCCUCCCAAGCGGCGUCUCUGGCAGAUUUCAAGAAAGAACGAAAAGAAUCUGAAGAAAGAACAAAAGGAAGCAACAAUGCACGACAGAAGCCAAACCAGGGCUCCAUUGACAGAUGGCCCCUGUCCUGAAUGGAACAUGCUUCACCCAUGUUAGGAGCUUCAUGCUUCUGUAGUUUCCCAAUGGAUGUGGGAGGCAGCAUCAUCUCUCAGAUGGUGGCUGUCUUGGAUGAAACAUGCUUCACGCAUGUUAGGAGCUUCAUGCUUCUGUAGUUUCUCAAUGCCUGUGGGAGGCAGAAUCAUCUCUAAGAUGGUCCCUGUCCUGAAUGGAACAUGCUUCAUGCAUGUUAGGAGCUUCAUGCUUCUGUAGUUUCUCAAUGCCUGUGGGAGGCAGAAUCAUCUCUAAGAUGGUCCCUGUCCUGAAUGGAACAUGCUUCACCCAUGUUAGGAGCUUCAUGCUUCUGUAGUUUCUCAAUGCCUGUGGGAGGCAGCAUCAUCUCUAAGAUGGUCCCUGUCCUGAAUGGAACAUGCUUCAUGCGCGUUAGGAGCUUCAUACUUCUGUAGUUUCUCAGUGCCUGUGGGAGGCAGCAUCAUCCCUAAGAUGGUGGCUUUUCUUGAAAGGAACAUGCUUCAUGCAUGUUAGGAGCUUCAGGCUUCUGUAGUUUCUCAAUGGCUGUCUUGAAAGGAACAUGCUUCACGCAUGUUAGGAGCUUCAUGCUUCUGUAGUUUCUCUAUGGCUGUGGGAGGCAGCAUCAUCCCUGGCUGUCUUGAAUGGAACAUGCUUCAUGCAUGUUCCAUUCUGCCCUCUGAAGAAUGGUUUGGCAAGAAGAAACAGAACUGGCACACCUUCUUCAAGGACCUCCAUGCCUGAAUAUUGAUGUUGGAACGUUUUCUCCUCCCAAGCGGCCUCUCUGGCAGAAACAGAACGGGCGCACCUUCUUCAAGGACCUCCAUGCCUGAACGUGGAUGUGGAAACGUUUUCUCCUCCGAAGUGGCCACUGAGGCAGGUAAGACUGAAAGAGAAGGAUGGGAGGGACCAAUAAAAAUAUAUAUAGGUCAACGAGGGCUGUAUUCACUCCUAUUUGGAUGUUCUUACUUGCUUAUAAAGAUCUUGAAUAUACAGUUUCGAGUGCUCUAUUUAAAUUUGUCUCCCUAGCAGAUGUUCCUCUUGGGUUUUGUGCAGGCCUAUUGAAAAGUGAUCUUACUAAACAAAUGCAGGGACGCAGGAGCUGAGGUCCUGCGGUCAGGGUGAUGUGCUGGCAACCUCUCCCCUGUAGCUGACACAGUGAGGCAGGGACGCAGGAGCUGAGGUCCUGCGGUCAGGGUGAUGUGCUGGCAACCUCUCCCCUGUAGCUGACACAGUGAGGCAGGGACGCAGGAGCUGAGGUCCUGCGGUCAGGGUGAUGUGCUGGCAACCUCUCCCCUGUAGCUGACACACUGAGGCAGGGACGCAGGAGCUGAGGUCCUGCGGUCAGGGUGAUGUGCUGGCAAC
Molecule: long non-coding RNA, 9428 nt
Organism: Hemicordylus capensis (graceful crag lizard)
Lineage: Eukaryota; Metazoa; Chordata; Lepidosauria; Squamata; Cordylidae
Exons: 15
Source: RefSeq, a predicted model, not a curated record